This 2735-nucleotide ribosomal RNA is filed under the name Poterioochromonas sp. DS. RNAcentral's name for it is "bacterial LSU rRNA". It matches the Rfam family "Bacterial large subunit ribosomal RNA". The record is from RNAcentral. Lineage: Eukaryota; Synurophyceae; Ochromonadales; Ochromonadaceae.
AAAGCUUGUGACGGAUCCCUUGGUAUCUAGAAGUUAAAUAGGACGUGAUUUACCUGCGAUAAGUUUCGGGGAGUAGGAGAAAGCUUUGAUCCGGAAAUUUCCUAAUUUUUUUCUGAAUCUAUAAGGAAAAAGAAUCAACCUAGGGAACUGAAACAUCUUAGUACCUAGAGGAAAAGAAAGUAAAAACGAUUCCCGUAGUAGUGGCGAACGAACUGGGAUGUAUUGUCUAAACCAUUCUUAUUAGGAAUGGGGUUAUAGGGUAAAAGAUUAGACAAAGAACAAUGGUAGGUGAAAUUGUUGGAAAGCGAUACCCAAGAAAGUGAUAGUCUUGUAACCGAAACCAAUUUCUUUGACUUUUUUAUUCCUGAGUAGUAUGGAACACGAGGAAUUCCGUAUGAAGUUACGAAGACCACUUCGUAAGACUAAAUAUUCCUAGAUAUCCGAUAGCGAAAUAGUACCGUGAGGGAAUGGUGAAAAAGAACCCCGGGAGGGGAUUGAAAAAGAACGUGAAAUUGCAAGCUUACAAACAGAAGAAACUCCUUUUUUAGUAGUAUUUCUUCGUGCCUGUUGAAGAAUGUUCCGGCGAGUUAUAGUUAGUGGCGGGUUAAAAUAGAGAUAUUGGAGCCAUAGUGAAAGCGAGCUUGAAUAGAGCGAAAGUCACUAAUUAUAGACCCGAACCCGCUUGAUCUAACCAUGUCCAGGGUGAAACUUAGGUGACACUAAGGGGAGGCCCGAACCGACUAAUGUUGAAAAAUUAGCGGAUGAGGUGUGGUUAGGGGUGAAAUGCCAAUCGAAAGCGGAGCUAGCUGGUUCUCCCCGAAAUGUAUUGAGGUGCAGCGGUUAAUCUUUUAGCAUAGGGGUAAAGCACUGUUUUAAACGGGGCCACAACAACUGGUACCUUAUUGAGGCAAACUCUGAAUACUAUGUGUACAAUUAACCAGUAAGACUAUGAGGGAUAAGCUUCAUUGUCAAGAGGGAAACAGCCCAGAUCACCAGUUAAGGCCCCUAAAUGAUUACUAAGUGAAAAAGGAAGUGAAAAGGCUAAAACAACCAGGAGGUUCGCUUAGAAGCAGCAAUCCUUUAAAAAGUGCGUAAUAGCUUACUGGUCUAGCAGUUUUGCGCCGAAAAUUUUUGGGACUAAGUAAUUUGCCGAAGCUGUGAGAUAUAAACAAUUAUAUCGGUAGGGGAGCGUUCCACAGUAGAAUGAAGUGAACACGAAAGUGUUUAUGGACGAACUGGAAGUGAGAAUGUCGGAUUGAGUAGCGAAAACAAUGGUGAGAAUCCAUUGCUCCGAAACCCUAAGGUUUCCUCUGGAAGGCUCGUCCGCAGAGGGUUAGUCAGGUUCUAAGAUGAGGCUGAAAAGCGUAGUCGAUGGAUAAUGGGUUAAUAUUCCUAUACUAAUACCUAUCGUUUUUUCUUUUUUUAUUUUAAAAAAAAAUCAAAAUCAGAAAAAAUUGAAAGAAAAAUGACGAAGAAGGCUAGGUUAGCCAAUGAAUGGUUUUUGGUUUAAGCUAUUAAGAUUGAUACUCAAGAUUCAUUAUUGCUUUAAAGUUAAAGCAAGAUCGGAAAUUGUCAGUUGAAAUACCAAUACAAGAUUUUAAGAAUCAAAGUAACUAAUGUCAUACUUCCAAGAAAAGUUUUUCUUUUGAAAAGAUAGCGAAUUAUCUGUACCAGAAACCGACACAGGUGGGGAAGUAGAGAAUACUAAGGAGCGCGAGAGAACCCUCCUUAAGGAACUCGGCAAAAUAGCUCUGUAACUUCGGAAGAAAGAGCGCCCAUUGGGCUGAAAUAUCAAGUUCCAAGCAACUGUUUAACAAAAACACAGGUCUCCGCUAAGUUGUAAAACGACGUAUGGGGGCUGACGCCUGCCCAGUGCCGGAAGGUUAAAAAAGUGAGUCAAGAGUUUUCUGAAGCUUAUGAUUGAAGCCCCGGUGAACGGCGGCCGUAACUAUAACGGUCCUAAGGUAGCGAAAUUCCUUGGCGGGUAAAUUCCGUCCUGCAUGAGUAGCGUAACGACUGCUUCACUGUCUCGCAUAUAUUUUUGAUGAAUUUGAAAUACCCGUGAAGAUGCGGGUUACUUACGAUUAGACGGAAAGACCCUAUGCACCUUUACUAUGAUCAUUCGUUGUUUUGUUGGUACUCUCUGUGUAGCAUAGAUGGGAGCUACGGCGUCAUUGAAAUACCAUCCUGAGGGUCCAAUCUUAACUAACCUUUACCAGGGGACAGCGUGUGAGAGGUAGUUUGGCUGGGGCGGCCGCCUCCUAAAAAGUAACGGAGGCGCACAAAGGUAAGCUUAGAUUUUAUAUUGUUAAGGGUAAUGACAUAUGGUUGCCUGACUGUCAGACUGACAAGUCGAACAGGGACGGAAGUCGGUCAUAGUGACCCGGUAGCUUUUAGUGAAAAAGCUAUCGCUCAACGAAUAAAAGGUACGCUAGGGAUAACAGGCUGAUGGUUUUAGAGAGUUCUUAUUGACAAGACCGUUUGGCACCUCGAUGUCGGCUCAUCACAUCCUGAAGCUGUAGAAGGUUUCAAGGGUUCGACUGUUCGCCGAUUAAAGUGGUACGUGAGCUGGGUUCAGAACGUCGUGAGACAGUUCGGUCCCUAUCUGUCGUAAGUUGGGAAAAUUGAGAGGACUAAAUUCUAGUACGAGAGGACCGGAUUAAGUAAACCUAUGGUGUAUUGGUUGUCGACAAGAUUUUUAAAUAGAUAUCUCUAUUUAAUUAAUAUUAUUGUUU